RNAcentral lists this ribosomal RNA (1363 nucleotides) under uncultured bacterium. RNAcentral's name for it is "bacterial SSU rRNA". It matches the Rfam family "Bacterial small subunit ribosomal RNA", at positions 28 to 1381 of the family's 1533-position model. The record is from RNAcentral.
AUUGAACGCUGGCGGCAGGCCUAACACAUGCAAGUCGAACGGUAACAGGAAGAAGCUUGCUUCUUUGCUGACGAGUGGCGGACGGGUGAGUAAUGUCUGGGAAACUGCCUGAUGGAGGGGGAUAACUACUGGAAACGGUAGCUAAUACCGCAUAACGUCGCAAGACCAAAGAGGGGGACCUUCGGGCCUCUUGCCAUCGGAUGUGCCCAGAUGGGAUUAGCUAGUAGGUGGGGUAACGGCUCACCUAGGCGACGAUCCCUAGCUGGUCUGAGAGGAUGACCAGCCACACUGGAACUGAGACACGGUCCAGACUCCUACGGGAGGCAGCAGCGGGGAAUAUUGCACAAUGGGCGCAAGCCUGAUGCAGCCAUGCCGCGUGUAUGAAGAAGGCCUUCGGGUUGUAAAGUACUUUCAGCGGGGAGGAAGGGAGUAAAGUUAAUACCUUUGCUCAUUGACGUUACCCGCAGAAGAAGCACCGGCUAACUCCGUGCCAGCAGCCGCGGUAAUACGGAGGGUGCAAGCGUUAAUCGGAAUUACUGGGCGUAAAGCGCACGCAGGCGGUUUGUUAAGUCAGAUGUGAAAUCCCCGGGCUCAACCUGGGAACUGCAUCUGAUACUGGCAAGCUUGAGUCUCGUAGAGGGGGGUAGAAUUCCAGGUGUAGCGGUGAAAUGCGUAGAGAUCUGGAGGAAUACCGGUGGCGAAGGCGGCCCCCUGGACGAAGACUGACGCUCAGGUGCGAAAGCGUGGGGAGCAAACAGGAUUAGAUACCCUGGUUGUCCACGCCGUAAACGAUGUCGACUUGGAGGUUGUGCCCUUGAGGCGUGGCUUCCGGAGCUAACGCGUUAAGUCGACCGCCUGGGGAGUACGGCCGCAAGGUUAAAACUCAAAUGAAUUGACGGGGGCCCGCACAAGCGGUGGAGCAUGUGGUUUAAUUCGAUGCAACGCGAAGAACCUUACCUGGUCUUGACAUCCACGGAAGUUUUCAGAGAUGAGAAUGUGCCUUCGGGAACCGUGAGACAGGUGCCGCAUGGCUGUCGUCAGCUCGUGUUGUGAAAUGUUGGGUUAAGUCCCGCAACGAGCGCAACCCUUAUCCCUUGUUGCCAGCGGUCCGGCCGGGAACUCAAAGGAGACUGCCAGUGAUAAACUGGAGGAAGGUGUGGAUGACGUCAAGUCAUCAUGGCCCUUACGACCAGGGCUACACACGUGCUACAAUGGCGCAUACAAAGAGAAGCGACCUCGCGAGAGCAAGCGGACCUCAUAAAGUGCGUCGUAGUCCGGAUUGGGGUCUGCAACUCGACUCCAUGAAGUCGGAAUCGCUAGUAAUCGUGGAUCAGAAUGCCACGGUGAAUACGUUCCCGGGCCU